This 428-nucleotide long non-coding RNA is filed under the name Daucus carota (carrot). RNAcentral's name for it is "long non-coding RNA (DCAR_LNC007617)". Lineage: Eukaryota; Viridiplantae; Streptophyta; Magnoliopsida; Apiales; Apiaceae. The record is from RNAcentral.
UAAGAAAUGUGAGGGAAAUGCAGUGGUUUUUCUAGUGCUUUAUUGAUUAGUCCAUAUUUUUGCAUAUUUAAGUGCCUAUUUUUUUGUUUAUUUUCGUAGUAUUAAUCGCUUAUUUAUUUUAUUUCAGGAAAUUGUUGAUAAAUAAAGAAAGAAGAAAAAGUGCAAGAAAAUGGAAGAAAAAGAAAAGAAAAGAAGAAAAUCAAAAAGAGUUGGCAAGCAAGGGGACACAUGGAAGGCUAUGAUCUACCCAACACACAUCCCACAUGGAUGGAUUAGAUUUAGCCACCCUACCCCUAAACCCUACAUUUUUAGCUAUAAAUACCCCCACCCCUUUACUUGUAAGGACAAUCUUUUUAACCUAGUCUUUUCCUAGUUGGUAGGUAGUAUAGUGCUAGAUCUUCUUUUGUUCUCUCAUUUUCAUACUACAU